RNAcentral lists this ribosomal RNA (485 nucleotides) under Lactobacillus sp. oral taxon A89. RNAcentral describes it as "bacterial SSU rRNA". It matches the Rfam family "Bacterial small subunit ribosomal RNA", at positions 28 to 475 of the family's 1533-position model. The record is from RNAcentral. Lineage: Bacteria; Bacillati; Bacillota; Bacilli; Lactobacillales; Lactobacillaceae.
GAUGAACGCUGGCGGUGUGCCUAAUACAUGCAAGUCGAACGCGUUGGCCCAAUUGAUUGAUGGUGCUUGCACCUGAUUGAUUUUGGUCGCCAACGAGUGGCGGACGGGUGAGUAACACGUAGGUAACCUGCCCAGAAGCGGGGGACAACAUUUGGAAACAGAUGCUAAUACCGCAUAACAGCGUUGUUCGCAUGAACAACGCUUAAAAGAUGGCUUCUCGCUAUCACCUCUGGAUGGACCUGCGGUGCAUUAGCUUGUUGGUGGGGUAAUGGCCUACCAAGGCGAUGAUGCAUAGCCGAGUUGAGAGACUGAUCGGCCACAAUGGGACUGAGACACGGCCCAUACUCCUACGGGAGGCAGCAGUAGGGAAUCUUCCACAAUGGGCGCAAGCCUGAUGGAGCAACACCGCGUGAGUGAAGAAGGGUUUCGGCUCGUAAAGCUCUGUUGUUAAAGAAGAACACGUAUGAGAGUAACUGUUCAUACGU